RNAcentral lists this ribosomal RNA (468 nucleotides) under uncultured bacterium. Its description in RNAcentral is "partial 16S ribosomal RNA". It matches the Rfam family "Bacterial small subunit ribosomal RNA", at positions 28 to 507 of the family's 1533-position model. The record is from RNAcentral.
GACGAACGCUGGCGGCGUGCUUAACACAUGCAAGUCGAACGGAAAGGCCCUGCUUUUGUGGGGUGCUCGUGUGGCGAACGGGUGAGUAACACGUGAGUAACCUGCCCUUGACUUUGGGAUAACUUCAGGAAACUGGGGCUAAUACCGGAUAGGAGCUCCUGCUGCAUGGUGGGGGUUGGAAAGUUUCGGCGGUUGGGGCUGGACUCGCGGCUUAUCAGCUUGUUGGUGGGGUAGUGGCUUACCAAGGCUUUGACGGGUAGCCGGCCUGAGAGGGUGACCGGCCACAUUGGGACUGAGAUACGGCCCAGACUCCUACGGGAGGCAGCAGUGGGGAAUAUUGCACAAUGGGCGGAAGCCUGAUGCAGCAACGCCGCGUGCGGGAUGACGUCCUUCGGGUUGUAAACCGCUUUCGCCUGUGACGAAGCGUGAGUGACGGUAAUGGGUAAAGAAGCACCGGCUAACUACGUG